This 253-nucleotide ribosomal RNA is filed under the name uncultured bacterium. Its description in RNAcentral is "partial 16S ribosomal RNA". It matches the Rfam family "Bacterial small subunit ribosomal RNA", at positions 524 to 776 of the family's 1533-position model. The record is from RNAcentral.
UACAGAGGUCUCAAGCGUUGUUCGGAAUCACUGGGCGUAAAGGGUGCGUAGGCCGCCCGGCAAGUCAGAGGUGAAAUCCCGGAGCUCAACUCCGGAAUGGCCUUUGAUACUGCCGUGCUCGAGGACUGGAGAGGAGUCUGGAAUUCACAGUGGAGCAGUGAAAUGCGUAGAUAUUGUGAGGAACACUAGUGGCGAAGGCGAGACUCUGGACAGUUCCUGACGCUGAGGCACGAAGGCCUGGGGAGCAAACAGG